AACGAUACUAUUUUCUUAGAUGGUAAAUAUCUCGCCUGUGCUAUAUUUUGUUUUUCGGUUAGUUAAAUAUCGUACGUUCAUAUUUGAACGUUCUGCCGGAAUGCAUUAUCAAUAGAGGUAAAGUCGCAACCCCAAAUCGUAAAGGAAACCGUAGCACGUCUUAAGCAAGAACGUGCUGCG
Molecule: small RNA, 180 nt
Organism: Shigella dysenteriae Sd197
Lineage: Bacteria; Pseudomonadati; Pseudomonadota; Gammaproteobacteria; Enterobacterales; Enterobacteriaceae
Rfam family: Chromosome-encoded Shigella sRNA B
Source: Rfam